AUUGAACGCUGGCGGCAGGCCUAACACAUGCAAGUCGAGCGGAUGAAGCGAGCUUGCUCCUGGAUUCAGCGGCGGACGGGUGAGUAAUGCCUAGGAAUCUGCCUGGUAGUUGGGGAUAACGUCCGGAAACGGGCGCUAAUACCGCAUACGUCCUGAGGGAGAAAGUGGGGGAUCUUCGGACCUCACGCUAUCAGAUGAGCCUAGGUCGGAUUGGCUAGUUGGUGGGGUAAAGGCCUACCAAGGCGACGAUCCGUAACUGGUCUGAGAGGAUGUUCAGUCACAUGGGAAGUGAGACACGGUCAAGGCUCCUACGGGACGCCGCAGAGGGAAAUUUUAGGCAGUAGGCGCAAGCCUUUCACAGUCGUGGCACGUGUGUGUAGGAGGUGUUGGGAUUGUUAAGCCUGUUAAAGUGGGGGAAACUCCUGUAUGUUGUGACGUUGCUUUUUUGACGUUACCUACAGAAGAAGCACCGGCUAACUACGUG
Molecule: ribosomal RNA, 484 nt
Filed under: uncultured bacterium
Lineage: Bacteria
Description: partial 16S ribosomal RNA
Rfam family: Bacterial small subunit ribosomal RNA
Source: RNAcentral